AGUGAACGCUGGCGGUAGGCCUAACACAUGCAAGUCGAGCGAGUGGCUGACGGGUGAGGAAUACGUCGGGAUCUACUCUGUCGUGGGGGCUAAGGUAGGGGAACAUCCGCUAAUACCGCAUAAGAAUGAAUGAGGCGGUCUCGGAUUAGCUAGUUGGGGGGGUAAAGGCCCUCCAAGGCGACGAUCCAUAGCUGGUCUGAGAGGAGGAUCAGCCACACUGGAACAGAGACAAGGUCCAGACUCCUAAGGGAGGCAGCAGUGGGGAAUAUUGGGCAAGGGGGGCAAGCCUGAUCAAGCCAUACCGCGUGGGUGAAGAAGGACUUCGGGUUGUAAAGCCCUUUUGUUGGGAAAGCGGUACCCAAAGAAUAAGCACCGGCUAACUACGUGCCAGCAGCCGCGGUAAUAC
RNAcentral lists this ribosomal RNA (406 nucleotides) under uncultured bacterium. RNAcentral's name for it is "partial 16S ribosomal RNA". It matches the Rfam family "Bacterial small subunit ribosomal RNA", at positions 29 to 526 of the family's 1533-position model. The record is from RNAcentral.